RNAcentral lists this long non-coding RNA (802 nucleotides) under Lactuca sativa (garden lettuce). RNAcentral's name for it is "long non-coding RNA (LSAT_LNC005698)". The record is from RNAcentral. Lineage: Eukaryota; Viridiplantae; Streptophyta; Magnoliopsida; Asterales; Asteraceae.
UUUAUCGAAGUUUACUUAAAUUUAAAGACAUAACAUCUUCUUUUUGAAACACAACCACCACUUCCAAAUUUAUUAAUCAAAACAAAUCAUAUAAAAAAAUUAGCCAGUGAGCUCCUCCUCCUUGUGGGUCUCGAUGGUGACGUCAGAGGUCGGAUAAGCCACACAGGUGAGCACCCACCCUUCCUCCAACUGGUCGUCGUCGAGGAAGCUGCCGUCUGAUUGGUCCAGACUGCCGGAGACCACUUUCCCGGCGCAUGAUGAGCAAGACCCAGCCCUGCAUGAGUAUGGCAGAUCGAUACCGACUUCCUCCAUGGCGUGGUCAAGGAUGUACACGUCAUCAGGGCACUCGAACUCCUGGGUUCCUUCCGGGGUCACGAGGGUGACCUUGUAUGUGGCCAUCAUGGUAACUCCGCCGCGGUUACGGAUGCCGGUGCUGGAUUUGAGUCCGAAGAGGGCUGCUGUUUUGUUGGAGGUGGAGAGAGAACGGAUGGCGGUGGUGGGCUGUUGGCGGCGGAGGAAGGAUGUGCUGGCCAUGGUGCCGGUAAGAGAUGCGGUUGCUGCUGCCAUUGUGGUGGUGGUUGUGGUUCGGAGAGACAGAGGGAGAGAUGGAAGGGAGUAGAAGUAGUGAGAAUGAGGAUAGCAAGGAGGGCUUGUGGAAAUAGUGUGUCUUGAGGAUGAGAUAUCUGCCACGUGUCAGAUUUUUGUGGUGUGCUUUAUCAUGUUAUCACAAUACGUCUAUUUUUUUCGCCAAUUUUCAUUUGUUUAUGGUAUUAUUUUAAUAGUAAACAUGAUCUUGGAUGUA